UAGAAUUCCAAAGGUAGGCUCCGUCAUACAUGAAACUCUUUUUCAUGCUAUUUGUACGCGGUUUAGGUAAGCAAAGACUACUCGAAAUAUCCCGAAGAUUGUAGUUUGUCAUCUCACCUUUAUAUGUGAAAAGAUUAGUGAGUGACUCCGGACCCAUUUUAUUUAAUAUUUUGUACAUUAAUUUUGCUUUAGCUUUUUGUCUUUCCGUUUUGAGUGGCACCCAGCUCAAUGCUUGUAAAGC
This is a non-coding RNA of Paramuricea clavata, 241 nucleotides long. The record is from the annotation of a GenBank genome assembly. Lineage: Eukaryota; Metazoa; Cnidaria; Anthozoa; Malacalcyonacea; Plexauridae.